GUGCCAGCGCCGCGGUAAUACCGGCAGCCCGAGUGAUGGCCGAUCUUAUUGGGCCUAAAGCGUCCGUAGCUGGCCGCGCAAGUCCAUCGGGAAAUCCCCCUGCUCAACAGGUGGGCGUCCGGUAGAAACUGGCCGGCUUGGAACCGGAAGGCUCAGAGAGUACGUCCGGGGUAGGAGUGAAAUCCCGUAAUCCCGGACGGACUACCGAUGGCGAAAGCACUCUGAGAAGACGGCUUCGACAGUGAGGGACGAAAGCUCGGGUCUCAAACCGGAUUAGAAACCCCGGUAGUCC
Molecule: ribosomal RNA, 292 nt
Filed under: uncultured bacterium
Lineage: Bacteria
Description: partial 16S ribosomal RNA
Rfam family: Archaeal small subunit ribosomal RNA
Source: RNAcentral